This is a non-coding RNA of Dermacentor andersoni, 73 nucleotides long. The record is from the annotation of a RefSeq genome assembly. Lineage: Eukaryota; Metazoa; Arthropoda; Arachnida; Ixodida; Ixodidae.
GUCGCUGUAGCACAAUUGGUAGCGCGUCGCACGCGUAAUGCGAAGGUUGUGGGUUCGGUCCCCACCGGCGACA